This is a long non-coding RNA of Triticum dicoccoides, 355 nucleotides long. RefSeq lists it as uncharacterized. NCBI's taxonomy places the organism in Eukaryota, Viridiplantae, Streptophyta, Magnoliopsida, Poales, Poaceae. The transcript is spliced from 2 exons. The record is from RefSeq and is a predicted model, not a curated record.
ACGCCAAAACAUAAACAAGAAAAAGAAGCUUGCAUUGAUCUUAUGGAGCGGAAAACUAUUCUUCUUUCCCUUUUUGUGCUUUUGCAGCUAGGAAAUUCUACUCAUGCUGAAAUGUGUGAAGUGCACGUUCCUUACUCCAGCAUUAUGUGCAUAGAAUUAGGUUGCCAGAAUGCCUGCCGAGAUUCCUGGGGAGAUCACACCAAGAAAGCUUAUUGUGUACCUGUCAACGCUUCCCUUUGGAGUUGUCAUUGCAUAGUAUGCAAUGACUAGAAUUUUUCUACUCCAUCAUGUUGAACAAUGUACAAUGAUGUGAUGCAGUAAUAAAAUAUUCGUGCAAGAUGCAUUUGAGAAUCUA